UGGACUGCUUCUUCAACAUCUGAUAAGUCUGUCUAGUCAAACUAAACUCAUCUUUAAACUCCACAAUAUGAUGAAUCGAAGCUCUCUUCUCCAACGUCAAGUUCAAGAACUCGUGCACAAUCCCAACGCGAUACUUCUCCGCUUCCAAACUCCAAACAUCAAGCUUCCAACCAUCCGAAUACGGCGAAACAAGAGGAAACGUAUUCAACAAAUUCAGCUUCCUCGUAUCCUUCUCUUCCAACUCCAACUCCUUCCCAUGCUUCAC
This is a long non-coding RNA of Arabidopsis thaliana (thale cress), 265 nucleotides long. RefSeq annotates it as other RNA. The record is from RefSeq. The transcript has a single exon. NCBI's taxonomy places the organism in Eukaryota, Viridiplantae, Streptophyta, Magnoliopsida, Brassicales, Brassicaceae.